GGAAACUUAAUGCUGAUAUGCUACUAUAUUUUUAAGGAAAGGAACUUGAAAGAAUUCAAUUUGUGGAUAAUAGAAGUUACCGUGACUAGAAAAAGUUGCUGCAGGGUGUGGCCAAAUGACAUAAGUGGAAGAAUAGAAGAGGCAAUGCCACUAAGGGAAAUAACCCACACCAAAUGCCUUUGCACAUGCUUUUUACAAGUUGCAGACACUGCCUUUAUCACAAUUAAGAAGAUAUAAAGGCAGGCUUGUUGCAUUCAUCUUAAAGGCAUGCUUGUUGCUGAAAGUUCAACAACUAACUGAUUCCAGAGUAAACAAACACAAUAUGUCUAUGGCAUUAAGAUGGUUUACAAUAUAAACAUGCUAGAAUGAUAUAAUGAUCUAAAAACAAAGGCACACUGCCCAUUUAUAGUUGCACAAAAAUGGGGUCUCCGUGGAAAUUCACAUAAAGCAGCUGCUAUAAAUACUCAAAACUGUACCAUUGACGAUUCAAACACAACACUUUUGCCAUUGAACCAAGCCAUGGACACAAAACAUUUAAGGAUGCGUGGAAAUCCAUUAAUCAUAAACAAGGACAUCUAUUUUGUGGGCACAUGAAUUUUGGAGAAUCCAGUCAACACAAACUAGAGCAAUCAAAGGCAUCAGAUGUCAUACUCAUAUGAAGAAUUUAAAUAACACAUUUUACUUUCAAUUCAACAAUCUAAGCAUAUUUUCAUGACUUAAGAAAAGAUAGCUAUUUUUUAAAUUGGUCAGUUUUGUCUUGAGUUAGCUAAGGAGAACUCCAGGAACAAUGUCAUACCUUUUCUCUG
RNAcentral lists this unclassified non-coding RNA (806 nucleotides) under Hevea brasiliensis (rubber tree). The record is from RNAcentral. Lineage: Eukaryota; Viridiplantae; Streptophyta; Magnoliopsida; Malpighiales; Euphorbiaceae.